RNAcentral lists this ribosomal RNA (879 nucleotides) under Psychrobacter sp. RNAcentral's name for it is "bacterial SSU rRNA". It matches the Rfam family "Bacterial small subunit ribosomal RNA", at positions 547 to 1426 of the family's 1533-position model. Lineage: Bacteria; Pseudomonadati; Pseudomonadota; Gammaproteobacteria; Moraxellales; Moraxellaceae. The record is from RNAcentral.
GGAAUUACUGGGCGUAAAGCGAGCGUAGGUGGCUUGAUAAGUCAGAUGUGAAAUCCCCGGGCUUAACUGGGAACUGCAUCUGAUACUGUUAAGCUAGAGUAGGUGAGAGGGAAGUAGAAUUCCAGGUGUAGCGGUGAAAUGCGUAGAGAUCUGGAGGAAUACCGAUGGCGAAGGCAGCUUCCUGGCAUCAUACUGACACUGAGGCUCGAAAGCGUGGGUAGCAAACAGGAUUAGAUACCCUGGUAGUCCACGCCGUAAACGAUGUCUACUAGUCGUUGGGGAACUUGAUUCCUUAGUGACGCAGCUAACGCAAUAAGUAGACCGCCUGGGGAGUACGGCCGCAAGGUUAAAACUCAAAUGAAUUGACGGGGGCCCGCACAAGCGGUGGAGCAUGUGGUUUAAUUCGAUGCAACGCGAAGAACCUUACCUGGUCUUGACAUAUCUAGAAUCCUGCAGAGAUGCGGGAGUGCCUUCGGGAAUUAGAAUACAGGUGCUGCAUGGCUGUCGUCAGCUCGUGUCGUGAGAUGUUGGGUUAAGUCCCGCAACGAGCGCAACCCUUGUCCUUAGUUACCAGCGGGUUAAGCCGGGAACUCUAAGGAUACUGCCAGUGACAAACUGGAGGAAGGCGGGGACGACGUCAAGUCAUCAUGGCCCUUACGACCAGGGCUACACACGUGCUACAAUGGUAGGUACAGAGGGCAGCUACACAGCGAUGUGAUGCGAAUCUCAAAAAGCCUAUCGUAGUCCAGAUUGGAGUCUGCAACUCGACUCCAUGAAGUAGGAAUCGCUAGUAAUCGCGGAUCAGAAUGCCGCGGUGAAUACGUUCCCGGGCCUUGUACACACCGCCCGUCACACCAUGGGAGUUGAUUGCACCAGAAG